This 1433-nucleotide long non-coding RNA is filed under the name Cyanistes caeruleus (blue tit). Its description in RNAcentral is "lncRNA (ENSCCEG00000000063.1)". The record is from RNAcentral. Lineage: Eukaryota; Metazoa; Chordata; Aves; Passeriformes; Paridae.
GGAAAAUUAAUAGAUGCUAAAGCAGAAUUAGAGCAAAUUGCCAUUGGAUGAAGUUAUCAAGGGUAAUAAUUAGCUUCUCCACAACUGCACACUACGCAUUGAGAACAAAUGUUUGUUUGUUUUAAAAAAUAAAUUGCACAAAGCAUGGGAUUUGAAAUGGAAAUUAAUUAACUUUAUCUUAUCAUCUGUGUUAUACAGGGUAUAAGAGUAAAUGAUCAUCACAAAGUCUUCUAUCAUCACAGUCUUUAAAACUGUGUCACUGUUUUCCCUUCUGGCAAUUGGGAUUUGUUUGAUUAUCAUAUAGGUUAUCAUAUAGGGCACACAAAAGAUUUUACAAAGCAGGUUAUUAGCACUGUCAAGCAGAUUAAUAUCUAGGUGGGUUGAAUUCAUAAAUACUAAAGCAAAGCAUGGCUAAUAGGAAUUGCUCAGGAGGAAGAUAAAUAUUUAUAAUAGAAUUAAAUUUCUUGCACUGACUUUUCUAUAGUUGUGGCUAUCCUUACGAUUCUAUGCUUAAAGGAAUAUUUUCUUCACAACAGAUGUGAAUAGAUUUUUUAACUCUUAAAAAUAGAGUAGUACAGUAUACUCUGCAAUCUUUUUUCUCAUAUUUGUUUUCAUCUCAUUUUUCCAGUUUUUCUCUUACCAUUAUGACCAACACCAGCCUCAGAAUUCCUCAAAAGAUUCUUUCUUUGGUGGUGGAGCUUGGAAGUGAAAGCCUUAUUUGUGUAUUGUUUGACAAGACAUGUCACGUGCUCAAGGUAGAAUUCACAGCUGAGAAUAGGGUGUUUUGGGAAUGGAUACAUCAUGAAGAUUCAUCAUGAAGAAGCUAUAGCAGCUUGAUCCAUUGUUUAAGUUUUGGAAAUUUCCCACCUGAGAUUUGGUAGGAUGUUCUGACUGAGAUCCAACUCCGUUUGCAGAAGGCUGGACCCCUCUAGGUAUAUCAGCUACACUGCAGACAAUCGAAUGAUAUUAAAUAUAUAUAAGUACAUUAUUAAAUCCAUUAAUCACUCCAGUAAAUUAGGCACCUAGCUAUAAGUUAGUUAAAAUUAGGUGAAAUUAAUUUUUAUGUUUGUAGGCGAGUUUCAGAUUUUUAAUAGAUGAGUACAGUCAUCUUCAUGAAAGCAUCUACAUGAAGAGUAAGAACCCAGGAUGUCACUAUAGUCAGUCAAAGUGUAGUCAGUACAGAAAUCCAUGUCACCUGAAACAGACGCAUAGUCCAUUUUCUCAGCAUGGCAUCCAGGGGUAGUGAGAAUGUUAAAGAAAAACUCCCUCGGCCUGCAGCAGCUCUUGUAGAAAUUCAGAGUUUUCUCUAAGUCCUUUGUCACAUGCUGGUACCAUGUAAACAUCUCAUACACCUUACAGAAUCUCAAACUGCAUUUUAUGUCUCUGUGUAGGCAGUAGAAUAAAUACUCUAGUAAUUCAGUUGUUAAAAGACA